Molecule: small nucleolar RNA, 138 nt
Organism: Tachyglossus aculeatus (Australian echidna)
Lineage: Eukaryota; Metazoa; Chordata; Mammalia; Monotremata; Tachyglossidae
Source: RefSeq, a predicted model, not a curated record
CCCCUCUCAGGUUCACACCUGGAGAGUUUCCAGUACUCUACCAGUCUCCGCUAGGGAAGGGAGAAUCAAGCAGAGUUAUAUCCAUUCCCUUCCUAGCUUGGGCAGUGGCUAGUAAGGGGAAGGCAAUCUGCUACAAGU